GGCUCGACUUUGAGACUGAGUCGACUCAUCUGUGAUGAAUAGAAAUCUAUGGGCUACGGCCUGUAGAAUUGAGUCAGCUCAUCUGCUAACAAGCCAACUCAUCCGAGUCUUGAGUUGACUCUAAUAAAAACAAGUUGACUCACCAAGGACUUGAGUCAACUCGAGUAAAAAAUGAGUCGACUCCACAGACAUGCCAGUAU
Molecule: long non-coding RNA, 200 nt
Filed under: Elaeis guineensis (African oil palm)
Lineage: Eukaryota; Viridiplantae; Streptophyta; Magnoliopsida; Arecales; Arecaceae
Description: long non-coding RNA (EGUI_LNC061984)
Source: RNAcentral